GACUUGGUGAUACUGAAAUUGAUGAAACCGAAAACAUAGAAACCAUUGCACAGACGAGAAGAGACUGUACUGGACCAGCUAUAAAAAAUAUAAUCCGACGUGUUUUAGAUGAACACGCACAAGUUGUACCGGAUGAUCCCGCUGUAGAACGGAUGUGUCG
Adelges cooleyi (spruce gall adelgid) is the source of this 160-nucleotide long non-coding RNA. RefSeq lists it as uncharacterized. The record is from RefSeq and is a predicted model, not a curated record. The transcript has 3 exons. NCBI's taxonomy places the organism in Eukaryota, Metazoa, Arthropoda, Insecta, Hemiptera, Adelgidae.